RNAcentral lists this ribosomal RNA (252 nucleotides) under uncultured bacterium. RNAcentral describes it as "partial 16S ribosomal RNA". It matches the Rfam family "Bacterial small subunit ribosomal RNA", at positions 524 to 776 of the family's 1533-position model. The record is from RNAcentral.
UACGUAGGGCGCAAGCGUUGUCCGGAAUUAUUGGGCGUAAAGAGCUCGUAGGCGGCCUGUUGCGUCCGCUGUGAAAUCCCGGGGCUCAACCCCGGGCCUGCAGUGGAUACGGGCUGGCUGGAGGCAGGCAGGGGAGAACGGAAUCCUGGUGUAGCGGUGAAAUGCGCAGAUAUCAGGAGGAACACCGGUGGCGAAGGCGGUUCUCUGGGCCUGUUCUGACGCUGAGGAGCGAAAGCGUGGGGAGCGAACAGG